RNAcentral lists this ribosomal RNA (426 nucleotides) under uncultured bacterium. RNAcentral describes it as "bacterial SSU rRNA". It matches the Rfam family "Bacterial small subunit ribosomal RNA", at positions 354 to 796 of the family's 1533-position model. The record is from RNAcentral.
GUGAGGAAUUUUCGGCAAUGGGGGCAACCCUGACCGAGCAACGCCGCGUGCAGGAAGAAGGUCUUCGGAUCGUAAACUGCUUUUCUCUGGGAAGAGCAAGGACGGUACCAGAGGAAUCAGCCCCGGCUAACUACGUGCCAGCAGCCGCGGUAAUACGUAGGGGGCGAGCGUUGUCCGGAGUUACUGGGCGUAAAGCGCACGCAGGCGGUCGCGCAAGUUUGGGGUUACAGCUCCCGGCUCAACUGGGAGAGCGCCUCGAAGACUGGGUGACUUGAGAGCCAGAGAGGGACACAGAAUUCCGGGUGGAGUGGUGAAAUGCGUAGAUAUCCGGAGGAAUACCAAAGGCGAAGGCAGUGUCCUGGCUGGUAUCUGACGCUCAGGUGCGAAAGCUAGGGGAGCGAACGGGAUUAGAUACCCGAGUAGUCC